GCCUUUCCUUUCACGACUUGUAGCAGGAGCAAGGAGGCCUAAGUCUAAAGUCACCCAUGGUAUCACAGAGCUAGCUACUGACCAGGCCACUGUAGUGGCUCUCGGAGCAGCUCACCUUCCUCCCUCACUUCGUAGUACAUUUUAUUUUAAAUCGAGAACUUAUCUUCCAGGUUCUAAACUUUUUAUGCUAUCAUACAUUUAUCAUCUUGCUUUUGUUCACUUGGGGAGCAAGAAGGAAGGAGGGAAGAAACUAAAUGUUAGCAUACAUUUCCCUCUGCCUGACUUAGUUAAAUACCAAGGAAACACACACCACCUGGAUCCCCCUCUCCCCAACCCCUUUUUGUUUGAGAGUUGGGUUGGAAGUAGAGAUGUCUGUGUGGUCUGAAGAAAGCAAGGCUGAUUGGGAAAUCAGUCACUAGAACAGUGCUUGGCGAACCCACCUCCUGUUGCUCAGCGUGACUCAUCACCUGUUUUUAUAAACAAGGUUUUUAUUAGAAUACAGCCCCAUCCAUUCCAACGGCUGCCUUUGUGCUAUGAGAGCCGGGGCAGGAAUAGAGGGGAAACUUCACCUGCCUUGCCGUCCCUGGAGCUGAGACUAAACAGCCUGAUUGAUGAAGUGCUUCAGACUUGUCAUUUCAGCAGUUUUUAUACACAUCACUGACUCUGCCUGACGUUUGAGUGUAUGGCCCAAAUUAGUAUCCUGAUGAACUCAAAUGAAGAAAAAAAUCUUUAAAAAUCUGUUUGUAGAUGUUUCCAUGUUUAUGCAGCUGCUUCAUGACAAAAUCAUCCAACCAUCAUAGAGUCAUGUGCAUUGAGAUGAGACUAAUUUGUUUGGAUGUUCAAGCAGAUGAGGGAGUGAGUUACUACGUUCUACAUGGGAGAGCUGAAACCUGCAUUGAUUGUAGUGGAUAUCUGUGGAACCGUGAUGGAUUUCACUCAUGAUGGAACUUUCACCUCUAGAAGAUGGAACAAAAGUCCUAGAAGCAAUGCCCCUUGAAAGGAAAUUCUAUGUGUCCCCCCAGGGGCUGUCUGUCAUCUUUUGUUACUUCAGGUCCAAUCUGUGGAGUCACUAUGUACCUCCUUGUAAUAUCCCACCACGUCACUAACACCAAUGGCAAGCAUUUCAUUGCAAGAGAGAGUUUUGUGUGAAUAAGGGCAAACAAAGAAUGGAAUCCCUGAAAAUUGAACAUCAGAUCCAACUGGGAACUUCUCAGUGGACAGCACCCCUUCAGUAGCUCCUUCCUGGUGGCUAUGUCUAGCUAAGGGGUGAUACUUUUAGAAGGAUGGAGCAAAGAUGGGUGAUUCCUCUUGUGAGGGAUGCUGCAAAGAACUCAAUAAAGCAAACUUCAUUAUCAGUGUCUGAUGCCAGAGAAUGUGAUGCCACCAGGAGACGUCCACUUUUAUGACUCUAACAUAAAGCGUUUAUUUUACAUAGAUAAUUUUGUACCUUUAAAUUUUAAAUUCCUUUUUAUCCUCCUCCUGAAACUGUAAUGUAUUUGGUGAUUUUAUUGUAUUUAAAAUUUUCUAUUGAUAUCAUACCUUUGGUAUGGGUGUCAAUGCAUAGCAGCAAUUAUCCAUAACAAAAAGAGAAAGGCUGGGUUGUUGAAUUGGGACUGCAGCAUGAUUUAAUUGAUCUGUUUAACUAUUUAACAGUAUAAAUCUUUUUUAAUUAAAAAUUUUAAUUUUAGACUGAUAGUAAUAUUUGUAUUUUUAAAUGGAGUAUAGCAAUACAACUCAGCAGAGGUGUAUAAUGUGUGAUGAUCAAACCAAGGUAGUGACUAUUUCUGCCUCCUGAAAUAUUGUCAUUACUGUGUGUUGGAAAUCCUCAACUGACUCUAUUCUAAUUAAUGUAAAAGGCACAAUAAAUUGCUGUAUAGUGCAGUUCCUUCACCAUGCAACAGAACAUUAGACUUCUCUGCUGUAACUUUGGUACCCAUCAUGCGUCCUCUAUUUUCCAUCCACCGCAACAUUAGUAGUUUUCAGUGAGCUAUUUUAUGAUCUCUAUUAUACUUGGGGGAAUUGAGCUGGAACCGACCUGGAAGCCUCCUCCCUGAGGACUAGCCUUCAUAGUGUGAUAUGAGAAAGUGCCGUGCAAGCUAUCUAUUAUACUUGGGGGAAUUGAGCUGGACGACCUGGAAGCCUCCUCCCUGAGGACUAGCCUCCAUGGUGUGAUAUGAGAAGGUGCCAUGCAAGCUAUCUAAAGAGAAAAACAAUAAUUCUACCAAGCUGUAAAACCCAUGGACUACAACAAUGACCCAUGAAGACAUCUCCAAAUAUGCAGUAGUGACACUUAUAUCUUGGAAUUUGCCAACAGCUAAUUGGACUUUGGAGCCACUUAAGGAGGAAAAUCAUGUCUGCUACUGUAAACCUAGCCAACUGUCUGUGGCUAAUGAUGUCAUGGACCCUACAGGAGAACCUACUACUGUCACUUCUCUAGAUCAGUAUAAUUUCUAGCUGAAUUAUACAUUCUUCAUCAUCAUGCACACA
Mesocricetus auratus (golden hamster) is the source of this 2487-nucleotide long non-coding RNA. RefSeq lists it as uncharacterized. The transcript is spliced from 6 exons. The record is from RefSeq and is a predicted model, not a curated record. NCBI's taxonomy places the organism in Eukaryota, Metazoa, Chordata, Mammalia, Rodentia, Cricetidae.